RNAcentral lists this ribosomal RNA (253 nucleotides) under uncultured bacterium. RNAcentral's name for it is "partial 16S ribosomal RNA". It matches the Rfam family "Bacterial small subunit ribosomal RNA", at positions 524 to 776 of the family's 1533-position model. The record is from RNAcentral.
UACGGAGGGUGCGAGCGUUGUCCGGAAUCACUGGGCGUAAAGGGCGCGUAGGCGGCGCGGAAAGUCAACGGUGAAAGCUUGGGGCUCAACUCCGAAACUGCAUUCGAUACUGCCGUGCUUGAGGACUGGAGAGGAGACUGGAAUUUACGGUGUAGCGGUGAAAUGCGUAGAUAUCGUAAGGAAGACCAGUGGCGAAGGCGGGUCUCUGGACAGUUCCUGACGCUGAGGCACGAAGGCCAGGGGAGCAAACGGG